Molecule: non-coding RNA, 480 nt
Organism: Onychostoma macrolepis
Lineage: Eukaryota; Metazoa; Chordata; Actinopteri; Cypriniformes; Cyprinidae
Source: the annotation of a RefSeq genome assembly
GUUUGUCUUUGUGUAAUCAACUGAACAUAAUAAAAUACUUCACAAAACACGUCUAAAUGGACUCCUUUCUCCUCCUAUUCACAUUGCUUUAUCUAAAAGCAGAUUUCAGUGACGGUGUUCUGAUCACACAAUGGCCGAAGUACAUAUCCAGUCUUCCAGGCUCUUCAGUUCAAAUGUACUGUUACCAGAACGAUACAAACUAUGACUACAAAUACUGGUACAGACAAAUAAAAGGUGAAGGACCGGUGCUUAUUGGGAACAACAAUUUUAACUCUCCCUCUAAUGAGAAGGGUUUUGAGACCGGCUUCACAGUGUCAGGUACAGAGACAAAGAAAUGGACCCUGAAAGUUGAUGUUAAGGAGGGGACUGAUGCUGUGUAUCUGUGUGCUGCCAGUUAUACACAAUGAAUGAACGGCAAUAAGUUAUACAACAAAAACUCUUUGGAUGACAACCUGCAAAUCACACCUGCCUCAACCACAA